UUAAAGAAAGGCUUCAAAAUGAAAUCCACGGACAAAAACGGGGGGCGCGAGUGUAAAAAGUGAUUAAUUUUGGGAAGAUGCAAUAAAAUGAGAAAAGUUGGAUACGCAGCGUCAAAUUCAAGUGGAAGGACGCUCGUGUAAUGAUUCUGACUUCCGCCAUGAAUUCGAUGCUCAAAAUACGCAGGCCUAUUUGUUCGCUCUCUCUCUGCAAUGAUUCUCCACUGCACCUACAUGUAUCUCCUUCUCUAUUAACUCUAGUUCUCUCUCCAUUGCUUCCAACAAGAAUAAGACAGCUUCAUCAAUGGAAGUCUUUGUUCUUGUGUCACAGAUGCAUAUAAAGAGAGGAAAUCAGAAGCUUCACCACUGGAGAAGCCCACCUUGGUUCACCCCCACAGCUGUCGUUCACCCACACACCUUGAUUGGCCAGGUUCUCUCUCUGUUUCUAUUGACUAGUCUUUACUGAUUUCUUUGUUCUCUUGUUUAUAGGGUGUUUCGAUUGGUCCCUUCUGCACUGUUAGAUCAUCUUCCAAGCUUGGGAAUGGUUGUCAAUUGUAUCCUGAAUGCCAUGUUUUUGGAAAUAUACUGAUGGCAUUGGACAUACGCUUAUAGGCAUGAUAACAUAAUUGGUAAUCAUGCUGGGGUUGGCGUUAAAUGCCAAGAUAUGAAAUUCAAGUUCCUUUGGAUCAUUUUGGUUGCUAAGAAAGCAAAAUGCCGUCUUGCAACAUUGACAAAGUGUUGCUUGUUCCGGAUAUUUCAGAAUAAGGCAUGUUUACUUUGCUUGAAUUGGUAAGAAUUUUGCAAAUGGCGAUAUUCCCUGUUCUAGUUACCUGUGGUUUCAAUUCUAUUAACAUCUCAUCUUGCUUACAUUGAUCAUCUGCUGACCUGACUUAUAAUUUCUAUACUUUAUGGAUAACAUCUGCAAAUAUUUGCAAUUCCGGGUAACAUACUUACAGAAGCAUGGCGUUGGAUGCAUAUGGCCAACUCUUUUCCCUUGCUUUUCUGUUGCUUGUUUCAGAUUUCUGUUGCUUAUUUUUGUUCACCUUUAAGAAGUUGUUUCGGUUAGUUACUGGUUUGAAAGAGUUGUAAUCAUGCACAUAUGUAUUAUGUACACCAAAACAUUUUGAGUGUAUUUCUGUUCAAUCUUCAUAUAUAUGUUUGUCAUCAUCAUUAUCAGUUUUUGCAUUUGCAUUAUCAUGUAUAUACUUUGCUCAUGUAUAGCAGAGUCUGCCCUGUUGCAGUGAUUUAGAAAUUUAAGAAUUGUUUUCUAUUUAAAAUAGCCUCUUUUUGUUUUUUUUUGAUCCUUGCAUUUAGCCAGGGCCAGUGGAUGAAUGUUCUCUUGACAUUGUUUAUAACAAUGAAAUCAGUGAGCAUUCUUCAAUUCACCUAUCUUCAAAGUCAAGUGAGAGAACGUUAUGGCCAGUGUGCCAAUGUAUUUUAUAUGCCAUAGUCAUUUUUUGACAUUCAUGGGGUCUUGUCAUAUUGCCCAUGACUGCAACAUUGGCAACAAUAACAUGUUUACUAAUAAUACUUUUCUAGCUGGUCAUGUUAUUGUGGAAGUAAGUCCUUAGCUUAUCUAGUUAUCUCAUAACAAUCAGGAUUGAUAACAUUAUUCAACAUGUUAAUUUACUAAUAUUUCAUAUCUAUUGUUUGAUUAGAACUUGAUUGAGGUGCUGCAAAUGCAAGACUAUAUUCACACUGCUGGUGCUAUUGUUGUUCAUCAAUUUUACCAUAUUGUUUGGUUUUCUUUUAUCAGUGGUGGAGCUGUGGUAUGAUCUUUUACUAUUUUUUGGUUUUGAUUUUUCAUUUUGCAAUGCGGACAUGUGGUGUUGGACAAGUCUACCACUGAUAUUUAUACAUAUUGGUGUGUCCAAUAGGGAAAAAAAUGCCAGACUGAAAGUCCAUGUUGCAUAAUUGCGUGUUUUGCUGAAUGUAUUUGAAAUGAGUAUAUUAGAACAUAUAAAAUAGAAGAAAAUUUUUCUGUCAUGAAAAUGUAUUUGUUAUGGCUGAAGGUUUCGCAAGAUGUCCCUAAAUAUGUAAUGGUGGCUGGAGAAAGAGCUGAGUUUCAUGGUCUGAAUUUGGAGGGUCUUCAACGACAUGGAUUCACAGCCACAGAGGUCAGUCGUUACUUUCAUUCUGAUGGCUUUGCAAGGCAGCUAAAGUGUACCACCAUGGUUUCUUGAAUAUAACUUGAAAACAUCGCAAAAGAGAUUUUUAGCGAAUCUUGAUGAAGGUUUGCAAGUUUUUAUAUAAUAAUAUGAACUUGCAUAUCACAGCCUUGAGAUGCUGCACUGUUUCUUUGGCAGAGAGGGAUUUGGCAUCUGGGGUGAGACUUGAGAGUCAGAUUUGAUAUUCUAGUACUUGUUUGGCUUUCAUGGUCUUGGCUGGAGUAAGUGCAUGAUUUAUGCGAGGAGCCUUCUUUUGAUGGGAUGGAAUAUAUGCUCAAGGUUGUUGAUAUAGAUAAAUGAGCUUAUUGUGAAAAUCAUCAUUUGAAAAAUUAUGAUGGUACAAAAGGAAGUCUGUAAUAAAAUUUAAUGUCUGCCUCGUGUUGUUUUUGGUGGAUGCAUCAGCUGGUUUUUGAAAUUCUUUUUAUUUUGAUGCAACAAGAUUGAAGACAUUGGUGAAUUUCUGAUUAAUGAUUGACCUGAUAUUUCUUCUUCCUCUUUCCAUUUUUGUUCAUUCUCCUAUUCUAUGCUUUCUAUAUCUUUAAUACUCCAUAUUUUUGUUUGUUGUUUGAAUGACCUGCAUAUAUUUUUGGGGAAUGAUAUUAGGAGUCUGAGAUUGGCUUACAGAAAGAUAUUCAUGUCCGUUGAUGCUAAUUCUGUGAGUUUUGAAGUGUGUCUUGCCGAACUGGAUGAAGAAUUGGGUAAGAUUCCUGUUGUAUAUUUCAUGGUGCAGUCUCUUCGUGAUUCUUUUGCAGAAAAUCAACGUGGAAUAUGCAGGUUUAGACAUUGGAAUGGCUCUUGAAGACAUUUUGUUGUGAGUUUCUCCUUCUCUUCCUUCAGUUGAAAAUAAUUUCCUAUUUGGAAAAUAUAUUUCAUUUUCUCUUUUAUGAUUUUGGUCCUGUAAAUAGCCAAAAUGAUUCAGGGGUCCCUUGGCUUUCCCAUUCCUGAAGUGUGCAAGUUUUUAUAUUAUUUUCUUUUAUUCGUAGUGUCAUUCGGGCUUUUUUGUUACUGUAUGAAUAGUUUUGGUAUUUAUAGAUUUGCUGUUGUGUAUUUUCAAGCUGCGUAGACUUCAUUUCAUUGUGAGAGGCAUUCCGAGCGGCUUUGGGUAGAGUUCAUUAUUGAGACAUGAGAAGCUGAGAAAUUAGGGAAACAGAAACAGAUUAUUUUAUUAGUUAAUUCUUGAGCUAUGGAGAGGCUGCAGGCGUAGACUAUUUGUGUGAAAUGAACAGAAGAAUUUUAUGUUUUGCUCAAUGGAAAUGUGUUUAGGUAAAUUCUUCACCAUGUUGGUCAAUACAUUACUGUCAUUUGCAAUAAUAACUGGUACCAAUUCUUGACUUAAACACGGUUGAAGAUUGAUUCUUCUAAUCUAUUGACCAUCAUGUUUUGCUAUAUUUCUCUGUUUUUGGUUGUUACAUUAUUAGAAUUUACAAGUUUUACUUGAAAAAUAAAAUUUUGGUUGGUAAGCGAGAUAUUUACUUCUCUUAAAUCACCUCACACCUACCAUAGUUCAUGUGGCCUAUUCAAUUACCUAAGGUCCUAUCGCCACAGUUUGCUAUCAUUAAUGAACUAUGAAACCCUGCAACUGCAACAGCAAAAAAAGUAUUUGACUUGCUUGGAGAAAUAAAUAUUUAAUGAGUUGUAGGGUAGGCAGCCUUACCUGUUGACUUGCUUAAGAAAAUGUAUAUUUGACUAUUUGUCACUUUGAUGGCUUAGAAUUUUUCUUGCUUGGAGACAACCAAGUGGACAAAGAAAAUAUAGAAUGAAAAGUCCAUUAGAACAGUUGCCACACACACAUAUUCAUAUCCUAUGGUGUAUAGAAUGCUAAAAACUACCAUAUAUAAUUAAAUUCUAUUCAAUGGGCCAUCCUUCUGUGUAUUUAAUUUUUAAUUCUCCUUUUUUAAUUAGUUGAAAAAUGUAUUCCACUUCUUGUACACUCAAUUGCUUUCAGGCCAUUUCACUUCACAUUCAAUCAUUGUUAUGGAAGUAGGAUACUUUCUAAAUACAAAGCACCUUGUCAUGUGUGGUGUGUGUGUGUGUGUGUGUGUGUGUGUGUGUAUGUGUGUAUAUAUAUAUAUAUAUAUAUAUAUAGAGAGAGAGAGAGAGAGAGAGAGAGAGAGAGAGAGAGAACUUUAAUUCUGCUUUUGAGAGGCCAAGUUCCAUUAGCACUUCCUGUAUAGGUAAGGACUCACUUUCUCCUCUUUAUCUUUUCUUCUUAUUUAAAUGUUUGAUCUUUUAAAAAAAAUAAUUGGCCUUUCUUUCUUUUUUUUUCUUUCUUAAGAAGCAAGAUGAGGAAGGGAAUGUCAGCUUUGUGGAACUGGGUAUUUUUUCAAUUGCAUGGGAUGAUAAGUCAAAGUUCACAAACUUAAGAUAUUGUGUUCUUUCACCUGCUAACACUAGCAAGAACUGCACUCCUUCCCCACAUAGCACCUGCAAAUGAGCAUAAUUAAGUGUUAAUUAUUAUCAUUAGCCUUGCCUUUGAGGCAAGAUGACUGAAUUGUUUUUAAAAGAAAGAUGCAAAGUGCCUGUACAUUGGACAUUCCGCAACUUUGAGGUACAAUUGGGUUUAAUUAGUAGCUUCAUUAUUUUUUUUUCCUUUUUUAUAUAAUGAUAUGGAGAAGGGAUUUACAGGCAUAUCUGUGAUUAGUGGUUGAGGUUCUUUAUGUGAAAAUGACCUGUGAGGUGGCCUUGUCCAUUCAUUACUUUUUCCAUGUUCAAACUUGGAAAAUAGAUUUGCUGUC
Molecule: RNA transcript, 4900 nt
Organism: Hevea brasiliensis (rubber tree)
Lineage: Eukaryota; Viridiplantae; Streptophyta; Magnoliopsida; Malpighiales; Euphorbiaceae
Exons: 3
Source: RefSeq, a predicted model, not a curated record